Molecule: ribosomal RNA, 489 nt
Filed under: Teleogryllus mitratus
Lineage: Eukaryota; Metazoa; Arthropoda; Insecta; Orthoptera; Gryllidae
Description: partial 16S ribosomal RNA
Rfam family: Bacterial large subunit ribosomal RNA
Source: RNAcentral
CCCUCUUUAUCAAAAACAUGUCUUCUUGUUGUAAUAUGAAGUCGUGCCUGCCCAAUGAGGUUUUGAAUGGCCGCGGUAUAUUGACCGUGCAAAGGUAGCAUAAUCAUUAGUCUUUUAAUUGGAGGCUGGAAUGGAAUGGUUUGACGAAAUAAUUACUGUCUCAUUAUGAUAUAUUGAAUUUUACUUUUAAGUUAAAAGGCUUAAAUGAAGAUAGGGGACGUAAGACCCUAUAGAUCUUGAUAAUAUAUAUUAAAUUUUGUGAUUGGUUGUAUUUUAUGAAUAUUAAUAUAUUGUAUUUGGUUGGGGUGACAAGGGAAUAGAAUAACUUCUUAUUUAUUAUACUAUGAUGAUUGGUUUAAUGAUCCUAUAUUAUGGAAUAAAGAUAAAGAUACCUUAGGGAUAACAGCGUAAUUUUAUUGAAGAGUUCAUAUUGAUAAUAAAGAUUGCGACCUCGAUGUUGGAUUAAGAAAAUUAUUAAGAUGCAGGAAC